Molecule: unclassified non-coding RNA, 366 nt
Filed under: Chytriomyces hyalinus
Lineage: Eukaryota; Fungi; Chytridiomycota; Chytridiomycetes; Chytridiales; Chytriomycetaceae
Description: partial internal transcribed spacer region
Rfam family: Eukaryotic small subunit ribosomal RNA (bases 1-46)
Source: RNAcentral
AAGUCGUAACAAGGUAACCGUAGGUGAACCUGCGGUUGGAUCAUUAUUGAACUUUUUUCUCUCAGCUGCUUAACCGCAGUUUGGGAGAGAAUAACACCCCCCUUGUGAACCUUAUAACCGUAACUGGAGUUGGCUCCGCCGAUGUGCGCGUUCCCAAUGUCUGUUUUUUUUUGUUUGGUAGCUUUGUUUGUAUGAACGGGCUGCUGAAGGAAAAAAAAUCGAUGCUGGACAAUUCGCAUUGAGGGGCCUUCGCCAAAUGUAACCACACCUAUUAUACUGUAUUAUAUUUUGUGUCUCCAUGCGAUUCAAUCUGUGAAACGCGUAUUUAAUAAAAUACAACUUUUGACAACGGAUCUCUUGGCUCUC